GUCGGGUAAGUUCCGACCUGCACGAAUGGCGUAACGACUUGGGCGCUGUCUCAACGAGGGACUCGGUGAAAUUGUAGUAUCGGUGAAGAUGCCGAUUAAUCGCAGCUAGACGGAAAGACCCCGUGAACCUUUACUGCAGCUUGAUAUUGGGAUCCGGUUCAUCCCGUCCAGGAUAGGAGGGAGGCUUUGAAGCCAUGACGCUAGUCGUGGUGGAGCCAACCUUGGGAUACCUCCCUGGAUGUUUCGGAUUUCUAACCCCAUGCCGUGAUCCGGGUGGGGAACAGUGUCAGGUGGGCAGUUUGACUGGGGCGGUCGCCUCCUAAAAUGUAACGGAGGCGCCCAAAGGUUCCCUCAGCAUGGUCAGAAAUCAUGCGUAGAGCGUAAAGGCAUAAGGGAGCUUGACUGUGAGACCAACAAGUCGAACAGGUACGAAAGUAGGGCUUAGUGAUCCGGCCGUGGAGAGUGGAAUUGCGGUCGCUCAACGGAUAAAAGGUACUCCGGGGAUAACAGGCUUAUGAUGCCCAAGAGUCCAUAUCGACGGCAUCGUUUGGCACCUCGAUGUCGGCUCAACGCAUCCUGGGGCUGAAGUAGGUCCCAAGGGUUGGGCUGUUCGCCCAUUAAAGCGUUACGCGAGCUGGGUUCAGAACGUCGUGAGACAGUUCGGUCCCUAUCUGCUGUGAUCGUUGGAGAAUUGACAGGAGCUGCCCCUAGUACGAGAGGACCGGGGUGGACAGACCUCUGGUGUCCCAGUUGUCCUGCCAAGGGCAUCGCUGGAUAGCUACGUCUGGAUGGGAUAACCGCUGAAAGCAUCUAAGCGGGAAGCCCACCUGGAGAUAAAUUCUCCCAUCCCCUUGAGGGAGUAAGAGCCCUGGCAGACCACCAGGUUGAUAGGCGGGAUGUGGAAGUGCAGCAAUGCAUGUAGCUAACCCGUACUAAUAGCUCGAGGUCUUAUGUUG
RNAcentral lists this ribosomal RNA (956 nucleotides) under Gaiellales bacterium. Its description in RNAcentral is "partial 23S ribosomal RNA". It matches the Rfam family "Bacterial large subunit ribosomal RNA", at positions 1971 to 2925 of the family's 2925-position model. The record is from RNAcentral. Lineage: Bacteria; Bacillati; Actinomycetota; Thermoleophilia; Gaiellales.